This 957-nucleotide long non-coding RNA is filed under the name Ricinus communis (castor bean). Its description in RNAcentral is "long non-coding RNA (RCOM_LNC001741)". Lineage: Eukaryota; Viridiplantae; Streptophyta; Magnoliopsida; Malpighiales; Euphorbiaceae. The record is from RNAcentral.
AUAAAUAUAAAUUUAAAGAAAAAGUUAUUAAUUAAUAAAAAGAAGAUAACUACAAAAAAAAAAAAAAAAAACAGAUUAUACAAAGAAGUGGUCCUAACUCAUCCUGUCCUACACAAUUUGUACACAAAUAGGCAGCUAUCUCAUUAUUAUUAUAUCAAUUACCAAAAGAAAAUGAAUGAAGAAAAUGACCAAAGAGAAGAAUCUAAUUAACAAAAAGUGAACAAGAAAAUGGUUAAGAUAAUUAUUAAUUAACUAUUCAUAUAAACAAAACAAAAAUGUUGAAAAAGAAGUAACUCUCUCUGUACAUAAACAGGGUUUUUUUUUUUCUCUUUUUUAUAUAAAGUUUACAAGGCAGUACUUCCCAAUCAUUUUCACAUUUUACAGAAGGAAAUGUCUACUGUUAGAACAGUGCUGUGAGGUUAUGAAUUUUCCAACUCCAAUAGAAUCCUAAUUACUAAACAAAGAAGAACAUAAGAGAUUCUAAACACUAGAUAAAGAAGUACAGUACAUGUAUGUAUAUGAACAUUUGCAGUUGAAUCAUGCAAGCUAGCUAGAUCUCACCUGAUUUUGAUGUUUUUUCUUGAAAGCCAGCAGAAAGCAUGCAAAUUACCAAGAGUUGUAACCCAGAAGAACAAGCAAGUAAAAGACACCCAAAAAAGUGUGAUUUCAGCCAUGGAAUUGGUGAGCUAAAACAGUACAAGUAUCUGAUAAUCAUUGACAGAUUCUGAGAAGUGAGCACUUGUUUGUUGUAGUACUAGUUUGUUGCCAUCCUCAUCUAAGUGCCAGUCUGCACUAUAUGUAGCUGCUGCUUGAACUAUAUGGAUAAAGGUCUUGAAGGAGGCACAAACGUACUAAUUACAGAAAAACUUGACAGACUUAAGCCAUCAUCACUGGCUACUGCUGAGAGCUCAGACAUAGGGAUAAGGAUAUGGAUCUCUUCCUCCUCCUUCUUCNNNN